GUAGGUGGCAAGCGUUGUCCGGAAUUAUUGGGCGUAAGGCGCGCGCAGGCGGUUCUUUAAGUCUGAUGUGAAAGCCCACGGCUCAACCGUGGAGGGUCAUUGGAAACUGGAGAACUUGAGUACAGAAGAGGAAAGCGGAAUUCCACGUGUAGCGGUGAAAUGCGUAGAGAUGUGGAGGAACACCAGUGGCGAAGGCGGCUUUCUGGUCUGUAACUGACGCUGAGGCGCGAAAGCGUGGGGAGCAAACAGGAUUAGAUACCCUGGUAGUCCACGCCGUAAACGAUGAGUGCUAAGUGUUAGGGGGUUUCCGCCCCCCUUAGUGCUGCAGCUAACGCAUUAAGCACUCCGCCUGGGAUACGGCCGCAAGGCUG
RNAcentral lists this ribosomal RNA (371 nucleotides) under uncultured organism. RNAcentral's name for it is "partial 16S ribosomal RNA". It matches the Rfam family "Bacterial small subunit ribosomal RNA", at positions 527 to 896 of the family's 1533-position model. The record is from RNAcentral.